Ziziphus jujuba (common jujube) is the source of this 4844-nucleotide RNA transcript. It is a transcript of the gene named histone-lysine N-methyltransferase, H3 lysine-9 specific SUVH6, with no coding region annotated. The record is from RefSeq and is a predicted model, not a curated record. NCBI's taxonomy places the organism in Eukaryota, Viridiplantae, Streptophyta, Magnoliopsida, Rosales, Rhamnaceae. The transcript has 4 exons.
AUUUAUAUAUAAUGACUGGAGCGAAGAGUGCCUUCUGAGAAGAAGAGGGAAAAAAAUAAAAAAAGAAAAAAGAAAAGAAAGGAAAGUGUGGUUUGCGGCACUCUUCUUCAUAGCCUGCUCAUGCUACUUUGCAAUUGCAAUCUCCAUUGCGACCUCGAAAUCUUACUGUAUUUGCGAUUAUACCCACUGGGUCUCGACCAUUAUGGGCGUUUGAUAUCUAGGCAACAAACCAGACUUUCUUAUGCUGGAGAGGUGGAAUGGGAGUCAUGGAGGCUAUGCUUCAUUCUGAUCCUUUGAGAACUAUUACAUUGGUUAAUGGUAGUCAUUCUGAGGAAAGAACAAGAAGUUUUACAAUGGAAAAUGGUGAUUGUUCUUUACAUGAUUCACCUAAGUACAAGAGGCGUAAAAUUUCUGCUGUUCGUGAUUUUCCGCCAGGAUGUGGACGUGUUGCUCAACGUACUUGCUUGAGACCAACAGAAGACUCAACUUGUACAGGUACUGUUGAGAAUUCAAUUUGUAAGGGUGGAAGCGCUGACAGACUAAAUAAUGAAAGUCCUGAUUUGCCCAAGGAUUUGCAUCCAUUGGGUGUUUCUACACCAAGAGCAGGGAUGGUUAGGGUUGCUGAGAAUUUUUUCUCACCACCGGAAAGAUUAACAGCUUCUUUUGAUGGAAGUGGUUUGAAGAAGAGUGAUAGACUAAAGAAUGAAAGCCUUGGUUUGCCUGAGGAUUUGCAUCCAUUGGGUGUUUCUACACCACCAAACGAGACGGUUUCACUUGCGACUGAGAAUUUGUUCUCACCACCGGAAAGGUCAAUUACUGCUUUUGAUGUAAGUGGUUUGAAGAAAAGUGAUAGACUAAAGAUUGCAAGCCCUGAUUUGCCCAAGGAUUUGCAUCCUGUGGAUAUUUCUGUACAAAAAGAAGAUAAGGUUCCUGUUUUGAAAGAUGAUUUGUUUUCACCACCUGAAAGGCUAAUCUCUGUUUUAGAUGGAAGUGGUCUGAAGAGCAGUAAGGCUAGAAAGUAUUGUCCUCCUCAAAGAAGAAAGGUUUCUGCUAUCCGAACUUUCCCUCCUUUAUGUGGACCAAAUGCUCCUCAUGUCAGUAAGGAAGAGUCUUCUACUCCGACGAAUAACGAUUUUGUAGAAGAGAAGUCAGAAUGCAGAAUGGCCGAUAAAAUGUCAGCUGAUACAGUGAAUAACAAUGUAAAACAAACAGCAGAGGAUGUCCAAGGUGGAGAUUCUUACAAGACAGAACUAGGAGAAAAGGAUUCUGAAGUAAUUGGGGACAAAGUUCAACCUGAAUUUGAUGGCCAUAAUGCAGAAGAAAUGGGGAAUCAAGUUGACCAUGGAAUGUUAUCUGCGAGAACGGUGGAACGAGAACAUAAGAAAGAAGACUGCACUGAACCUCCUUUUGAUAGCAAGUUAUUCUGGUGGGACCAUGAAUUUGAGACUGUUGUUGAAAACAGCAAUGACGAUGAGUGUCCGAAAGAAAACUUGGGUAAGGAGAUUGUUGUGUACUCUGAGGAAAAAGCUUUGGAUGAAAAUGUUGAUGUAUCUGGUUAUCAGAACCAAUUACAAGCAGUAGAUUAUGAGAAUUUGGAACUUAAGGAAAAAUGUGUGAACCGAAAAAUUUCAGAUUUGUCUGGUCAGAACCAAUUGCAAGUAGUAGAUACUGAGGAUUUGGAACUUCAGGACAAAAUUCUAAAUGAAAAAAUUUCAGACAUGUCUGGUUGUCAUAAUCAAUUGCAAGUAGUAGAUUUUGGCGGACUGGAAUGUUCAUCAGGCAGGGUUGUUGUGCACGGUUUGAUGGCUGCAUCUAAUUGUCCAUGGAGGCUGGGGAAGGUGGCAUACAAGUCUAAACAAGCUGCUGGUAUAAGUGGAAAUGAAGGGAAAAAACUUGAUCACAUUAGUCAGGUAGAAAGGCCUAAAACUUCUACCCGGAAAAAGGAUGAUAAAAAUGGCUUUCUCGAAAAGUCUUUGAAGAAGAUUCCAACUGUAACAGAAAAGGAUGCUUUUCAACACACUGGCCAGCUAGUAGUUUGGGAUAUGAAGGAUUCUCUUCAGCAUGAUGAUGAAUAUAAAAAUAUUCAUGUGGCUAAAAGAUCUUGUGGUUUUGAUGUUUGUGUUCCUCCUGUUGCCCCUGGUAGUUCGAGGAGUAAAGGUCAUGGCAUUGAUUCUAUUGUUACCCGAAAUAAGGUAAGGGAGACACUGCGGCUGUUCCAAGCUAUUUGUCGAAAGCUCUUGCAAGAUGAGGAAUCCAAGUCAAAGGAAGGACGAGAUGGUAAAAAUAUCAAGAGAGUUGAUUGUGGGGCUGCAAAGAUCCUCAAGGAUAAAAAUAAAUAUCUAAACACAGGCAAACAAAUCGUAGGAGCUGUACCUGGAGUGGAAGUUGGUGAUGAGUUCCAGUACAGGGUGGAGCUUAAUAUUAUUGGUCUUCAUCGCCAAAAUCAGGGUGGAAUCGAUUAUUUUAAGCAGGGUGGAAAGGUCCUUGCAACUAGUGUUGUUGCAUCGGGAGGCUAUGAUGAUGAUUUGGAUAACUCAGAUGUCUUGAUUUAUACGGGUCAGGGUGGUAACGUGAUGAAUUCAGAUAAAAAGCCUGAAGAUCAGAAGCUUGAACGUGGAAACCUUGCUUUGAAGAAUAGUGUGCUUGAAAAGAAUCCAGUCAGGGUGAUCCGUCGGUCUGAGUCGUUGGAUGGAAAGUCUAAGACAUAUGUAUAUGAUGGGCUAUAUUUAGUUGAAAAAUGUUGGCAGGACCUCGGUCCACAUGGUAAGCUGGUUUUCAAGUUUCAACUUGAAAGAAUUCCUGGUCAACCAGAGCUUGCUUGGAAGGAAGUAAAGAAGUCCAAAAAAUAUAGAAUACGAGAGGGUCUUUGUGUAGAUGAUAUAUCAGGAGGGAAAGAACGUAUUCCAAUAUGUGCUGUGAAUACUCUAGAUGAUGAGAAACCUCCAGCAUUUGUUUACAUAACCAGCAUUAUAUAUCCUACUUGGUACCGCCCUGUUCCUCCCAGGGGUUGUGACUGUGUUGCUAAAUGCACAGACUCUGAGAGAUGUUCUUGUGCAGUAAGGAAUGGAGGCGAGAUCCCAUAUAACUAUAAUGGGGCUAUUGUUGAAGCAAAGUCCCUUGUUUAUGAGUGCGGUCCUUCAUGCAAGUGCCCUCCUUCAUGCCAUAAUAGAGUCAGUCAACAUGGUAUCAAAUUUCAGCUUGAAAUUUUUAAAACUGAGACUCGGGGAUGGGGUGUCAGAUCCUUAAACUCCAUUUCUUCAGGAAGUUUUAUAUGUGAAUAUAUAGGAGAGCUCCUUGAAGAGAAGGAUGCUGAUGCAAAAACGAGCAAUGAUGAGUAUUUGUUUGAUAUUGGGAAUAACUACAAUGACUGUUCACUUUGGGGUGAACUUUCAAGUUUUGGACCUGAUGCACAGCCAAGUCCUUGUGAAUUAGUGGAGGAUGGAAGCUUCACAAUUGAUGCGGCACAGUUUGGUAAUGUGGGGAGAUUUAUAAACCAUAGUUGUACACCUAACCUUUAUGCCCAAAACGUCCUAUAUGACCAUGAUGACAAGAGGAUUCCUCAUAUAAUGCUCUUUGCUGCUGAAAACAUACCUCCGUUGCAAGAGCUGACAUAUCAUUACAAUUAUAUGAUAGAUCAGGUUCGUGAUUCAAAUGGAAAUAUAAAGAAGAAGAGUUGUUAUUGUGGUUCUCUAGAAUGCACUGGUAGGAUGUAUUGAGGUGGAAUAGCACUUAGCAGGAGAAGUUUGGUUUUGUUAUCUUUGAACAGAGCAAAGAUUUGAGCCUGAUGGUUUACAUGGGUAUGCAUGAGAUGUGGUUUUCAGAGCAUACAACUUUUCUUCUUGAGAUUGAGAUUGAAGAUUGUUAUUGAGCUUGAACGAGAUUUAACAUGUGAGUCAGCUAAAGAAUGGUCAAGGUAAGAGAGGAAGAAUUUUAAGAAAACAACCAUAAAAAUGGAUUCCUUGGAUCGAAUUAUGAUAGGAAGCAAGAUUAAGCUCGAACGGAUCAAGCAUUGAAAAGAUUCCAAAAAUAUUCUUUAUAGAUUUCAUAAAGAUUCUGUCGGAAAUUUCAUGAUGGAAGUGGAUGUCAUAUGAAUCCUCAUAAUCUGACAAUUUCAAAUAUCACAUUAGUUUUGGAUUUCGAGGUGCGAGUAAAAAGAUAUCAUCAUUUAAAGUUUAGAAUUUAUAAAAAGGAAUAUUUCUAGUUAAAUAUCCACCAUGGAUUAACAGAGGGAAUCAAGGCAAUUUGAGGGCCAAGGUUAGGACAAGUGGAGAUAAUUGGUUAAUUUAUCAUUAAUGAGGCAUAUGUCAUGUCAUAUGCUUCAGUAAGGGUAAAUUAAACUAAUUAACUAUUUUUUUAGAAAGAAUUAGAAAAGUAUUGGAGAGCAAAUAAUAUCAAGUUUCUUUUUUACAGAUAAAAUUCGUCCAACCCUCUUGAUGGUCUAAAAAAAGUAUCUUCCAAGACUCCCACAUUGAAAAUAAAGAGAGAAAAAGAUUUCCAAGGUUCUAUAUAUAUAGCCCCCACCACAUUGAAGGGAUACAAGCUUAGAAAGUUAUUUAAGAGCUUUUAGGAGGCUUUAAUAGAAACAAAUCAAAUUUUAUGAGUUUUUUAGGUUCUCUUAAGGGUUUUAGGGUUUUAAAUUUUUAGAGUUUUAGAAGAUCAAUUGGAGAGUUUAGAGGAGGCAUAGAGACAUGGGUUUGCUUGGAGAAGAAGGCUACGACUUGGAGAGCUUUUGGAGGAGGAUUUCUUCAAUAGUUUUUAUUCUCUUCUCUUUCUUUUAAUCGUGAACAUUAUUGUUUUUUUCUUUAUAAUCAUAGAUGUUGAAAUUAUUUUUGCCAUGAACUAAU